This 440-nucleotide ribosomal RNA is filed under the name uncultured bacterium. Its description in RNAcentral is "partial 16S ribosomal RNA". It matches the Rfam family "Bacterial small subunit ribosomal RNA", at positions 338 to 795 of the family's 1533-position model. The record is from RNAcentral.
CCUACGGGAGGCAGCAGUGGGGAAUAUUGCACAAUGGGGGAAACCCUGAUGCAGCGACGCCGCGUGAGUGAAGCAGUAAUUCGUUAUGUAAAGCUCUAUCAGCCGGGAAGAAAAUGACGGUACCUGAGUAAGAAGCCCCGGGUAACUACGUGCCAGCAGCCGCGGUAAUACGUAGGGGGCAAGCGUUAUCCGGAUUUACUGGGUGUAAAGGGAGCGUAGACGGCAGUGCAAGUCUGGAGUGAAAGGGGGGGGCUCAACCCCCGGACUGCUCUGGAAACUGUACGGCUGGAGUGCAGGAGAGGUAAGUGGAAUUCCUAGUGUAGCGGUGAAAUGCGUAGAUAUUAGGAGGAACACCAGUGGCGAAGGCGGCUUACUGGACUGUAACUGACGUUGAGGCUCGAAAGCGUGGGGAGCAAACAGGAUUAGAUACCCGGGUAGUC